GUGGGGAAUAUUGGACAAUGGGGGGAACCCUGAUCCAGCCAUGCCGCGUGUGUGAAGAAGGCCUUUUGGUUGUAAAGCACUUUAAGCGAGGAGGAGGCUACCGAGAUUAAUACUCUUGGAUAGUGGACGUUACUCGCAGAAUAAGCACCGGCUAACUCUGUGCCAGCAGCCGCGGUAAUACAGAGGGUGCGAGCGUUAAUCGGAUUUACUGGGCGUAAAGCGUGCGUAGGCGGCUUUUUAAGUCGGAUGUGAAAUCCCCGAGCUUAACUUGGGAAUUGCAUUCGAUACUGGGAAGCUAGAGUAUGGGAGAGGAUGGUAGAAUUCCAGGUGUAGCGGUGAAAUGCGUAGAGAUCUGGAGGAAUACCGAUGGCGAAGGCAGCCAUCUGGCCUAAUACUGACGCUGAGGUACGAAAGCAUGGGGAGCAAACAGGAUUAGAUACCCCAGUAGUCC
RNAcentral lists this ribosomal RNA (451 nucleotides) under uncultured bacterium. RNAcentral's name for it is "partial 16S ribosomal RNA". It matches the Rfam family "Bacterial small subunit ribosomal RNA", at positions 354 to 796 of the family's 1533-position model. The record is from RNAcentral.